Molecule: long non-coding RNA, 573 nt
Organism: Choloepus didactylus (southern two-toed sloth)
Lineage: Eukaryota; Metazoa; Chordata; Mammalia; Pilosa; Megalonychidae
Exons: 5
Source: RefSeq, a predicted model, not a curated record
AAGAGAAUGACAUUCAGCAAUUAUCAGCUCUACCCUGGCUACUGUUGAUAAUAAUACCACACUACACAAGAAUGAUAGCAACUCUGAUGAAGAAGGUGAUGUGAGGCUGCAACAUAGAAAUAAGUAGAAGACUACAUGUUUGUGAAUCAUUGGAUUUGAUCAGACUGGGGUGUUUUUUGCAGCAGUGAUGAUGGAUGAUUCCAGAUUUAACCAUUCAGUGCCAGUGGGUUCCCUUCUUUAUCAAAACAAGCGCAUAUGGAAGAAGAUGAAAAUAAAGAGUAGCAGCUCCUUGAAAAGAGGAGCGAUGUCUAAUUCAGUUUUGAAUCUUCCAAAAUAUGAAGGAAACCUGAAAAUAUGUGUUACAUGGAAAGAAUGGGAACGAGCAUUAAAGGAGGUUUGUAAACACCAACAAAAGAUAAUCAGAGCAACAGCAACCAAACGUUCAGCUCUCCCCUGUGCUUGCCCCAAUGUGGACCUCCCAAUCAAGCUUUAAACGUUUCAGCUGAAACUUCUUCCAGCUCUUGGGAACGCCAGAAAGACAAACACCAUCUCAGUGCUUCCUCCUGAGACUCC